Molecule: non-coding RNA, 21 nt
Filed under: Caenorhabditis elegans
Lineage: Eukaryota; Metazoa; Nematoda; Chromadorea; Rhabditida; Rhabditidae
Source: RNAcentral
UCAACAUUGGAACAAAAUGAA